CCAGGACCGCUGGGUGCCAUCUCGGAUUUUUGUCUUGAGUUUAAGCCAUCACUGCAUUGCCUUAUUGGCUCAUCCUUAUCCAUCCCCUAUGCCUGGGGGACAAAACCUCUCUGUUAAGAACAGACAAGCCCAUGUCUACAUCAACACAAACACCCUAGUCAACCAGGAUGGAUGCCCAUCUCCAGAACUUGGCAAACAACAGAAUAACUGUGCGCCUCAGCGGCUGCCAUGCUCUGGCAGGGUACACAGAUUGUGUGCGCCAAGGGUGCUGCUGACACUGGCUUCUUGUGUUCCCAUGAGCAGGUCUUCCCAUGUGUUCUCCCGAGGAGAGGAUAUGGAAAUUGGAACUGUAGAUCUGAGUACUGGCCACCUCGAUGGGAUCAAAUGCCACCUAAAGACCCAGAGUCUCCAAAGUCUAAGUAAAGAACUGGCCAAGGAAGGCCAAACCAGACAACCCAAAGGAUCCCCUUUGCCAGAAUCUUGGACCACAAGGUGAGCGUUUGUUUCUAGCAGGUAAAUCUGACACGUCUCCUCCAGCCUCAGCCCAGGUAUUAGGAUGUAGGAGUGCCUCCGGGUUGGCGGGGGGGGGGGGGGGGGGGGGUAGUUCAGAGCAGACCCCAAAGUGUGCGCUGUCCCUCCUCCCUCUCCACGCGCGGUCCCCCAUGGUGCUUCAGCCAUGGUUAGAUCCCAGGGGUAAUUCUGAAUCUCGGGGGUCCUGCCCAGCUGUGUGAAACCAACGGAGCGCAUUUGGAUUCUUGCUUAUAAUUUCCACCCGUGGCACUAGUGGUGAAGAACCUGCCUGCCAAUGCAGAAGAUGGGUUCGAUCUCUGGGUUGGGAAGAUCCCCUGGAGAAGGGCAUGGCAACCCACUCCAGUAUUCUUGCCUGGAGAAUUCCAUGGGCAGAAGAGCCUGGCAGGCUACCAUCCAUGGGGUCGCGAAGAAUCUGACACGACUGAGCAACUAACACUACUGCUGCUGCUGAAGCAUCUCUGCAGGUGACUUCAAGGCCGGCUUUGAAGUCAGUCUCCACAGCACAGAAGGAUUCUUUCUGCACCUGUUUUCUUCGGGGUGAACUUACAAACUGAUAAGGGCGGUUGACGAUUCAACACAAUGAACUGGCUGCUGCUUAGAGCUUUGAUUGGCUCUGACAAAGGCUCCUUGAGCUUGGUUGAAAACAAGAUUGGAUUUGUCUUUGUUGGUCUCGGCCUUUUCUGCUGGAGACCUUCACUUUAGUCUUGAGAAGCUGGAGGAUUCCUGGAAGGUUCUGUAGGUUGAGGUCUGUCCUUGGUGGGGAUGGCUGAGGGGCCUACAUGAAAUGGUCAUCCAGUCACUUCGAGGAACACCCGGGGAUGGUGCCAGCCGAGGACAUUUUGGGGGAUGAUUUUUAUACGAUGCAUCUUUUAAUAUUUAAAUAUCUGAUUUCAAAAAUUAGAAUGGGUUAGAAAACAUAGAAGGGAUUCAGGAGGAAGAGGAGUAUCGUAGAGAAGCAAUAGCAUGACUGUAAUCCUGGAAUAGCCAGGUUUGAAUUGGCUUUCUCAUAAAGGUGUUAUCACGUGGUUGAAUUUAUAUGAAUUAUCUACAUUUGUAAUGAAGUUCCAGCAUUUUUUUCAGAUUUAUAUUUUAUUCUAUAAGCAUAGCUUUAAUAAUUUAAAAAAAACCACAAUAAAU
Molecule: long non-coding RNA, 1668 nt
Filed under: Capra hircus (goat)
Lineage: Eukaryota; Metazoa; Chordata; Mammalia; Artiodactyla; Bovidae
Description: lncRNA (ENSCHIG00000006840.1)
Source: RNAcentral